RNAcentral lists this ribosomal RNA (468 nucleotides) under uncultured bacterium. RNAcentral's name for it is "partial 16S ribosomal RNA". It matches the Rfam family "Bacterial small subunit ribosomal RNA", at positions 28 to 507 of the family's 1533-position model. The record is from RNAcentral.
GACGAACGCUGGCGGCGUGCUUAACACAUGCAAGUCGAACGGAAAGGCCCUGCUUUUGUGGGGUGCUCGAGUGGCGAACGGGUGAGUAACACGUGAGUAACCUGCCCUUUACUUUGGGAUAACUUCAGGAAACUGGGGCUAAUACCGGAUAGGAGCUCCUGCUGCAUGGUGGGGGUUGGAAAGUUUCGGCGGUUGGGUAUGGACUCGCGGCUUAUCAGCUUGUUGGUGGGGUAGUGGCUUACCAAGGCUUUGACGGGUAGCCGGCCUGAGAGGGUGACCGGCCACAUUGGGACUGAGAUACGGCCCAGACUCCUACGGGAGGCAGCAGUGGGGAAUAUUGCACAAUGGGCGGAAGCCUGAUGCAGCAACGCCGCGUGCGGGAUGACGGCCUUCGGGUUGUAAACCGCUUUCGCCUGUGACGAAGCGUGAGUGACGGUAAUGGGUAAAGAAGCACCGGCUAACUACGUG